AAAGAACUGAAAUUCGGCAAUAACAAUUGUAACACUAACACAUCUGUAAUUGACAAUAAACAUUAGGAUCCAAAUAUCCUAUCAUGUCAUGAUAAGUAUACAUCUUAUCAUACAGUAUCAGCAGCUAAAUAAUAACUACUUAACUUAUCAAUCCAGAAACUGAAAAAAAAUAGAAAUUAAUAAAGCAAAUCAUGUCCAUUAAAUUAUGUUCCUUGAAUCACAGUCCACCUAGCAAUCGAUCAAUGACAUCAACACCUAGAAUUAUGUCCAGCAACUAGACGAACCCAGAAACUCAAAUCUAGAAAUACAAAAAGUGAUCAGCAAUGCCUGCAAAAAGCAACAACUCCCCAGCACAACAAUCUCAAUGAUAUAAAAUUUUCACACUAACACCUCGCAAUUUUUUUAGUAUUUUUAAAAUUUACAUUCAUUCAAGAUAUAAAUUCCCAAAUCAUAAGUUCACAUUUGCCACAAAAUACAUUAAACACAGCAAGAAAAUGGGCAAAGCCCUCGAGCCAACAAGGUCACAAAAGGCACCAACUCAAACUGCACAGUCUAUUAAAUGAAAAAACAAGAAAGCAAAUGAAACCCAUGUGCAUGAUAGAAGGCAGCCAAAAGUCAACAUGAGAUCAUCACAGAAAAAGAAUAAUCACAAAUCACUAGAAAUAUAUAAGCUCAGCCAACACAUAGAAUACUCCUCUUCUGUCAAAUUAGGGAGGAAUAAAGAACCUGAAUAAUAAAAAAGAAAAAAAGCAAAGGCAGCCGAAAAGAUUAAUUCUAAUAUGAAGAACUACCUUCUCAAAAGCACCAGCUUCACUUCUAGGGACGCUGUACCAACAUUUUGGAAUCCCCCCUCUGCCAUAAGAGAAGCAGUGAUAAUCAACUUUCUACCAAAGCAAUUUAAAAUUUUAGCUAGCAGUACAUUGCAAACCAUGAAAGAGGCAUGUACCACGCUGAGCCACCAGAAGUAUAAGAAAAUGAGAAAUCGAAAAUCCAUUCUACUUAUUCAGUUUUGGAUGUUUAAAUGAAAUUAAAAAAAAAACAAAAUAAAAAAACCACGAUGAUUAAUGAGCAAUUGAAGCGCCUUGUAAAGGAGAAAUUAUAGAAUACCUCUGAUGUAUUACAACCAAUUAAUGCAUGUAUAACACGUGUAAUUGAAUUUAAUAUAACUACUACUUAUACGAUGAUUUUUUUAAAAUAAACACACAAAUAUUAUAAUAUUAUUUAUUUAUUGUAUGGCUGACAUGGUACCUCUGAUAUAUUCUAUAUUUUCUCCUUCUAAAGAGAAAUAGAACUCCCAAUACCAAUAAGUAUUAAAAGGACAACUCAUCUCGAUCUACCGAGUAUCAACUUUCUUUACAAGUCGGUGGUGGUAGAGUCUGCUAAAGUAAUAAUUUCAAUGCAUUAAUUCAUUUAAAAAAUUAAUAAGGAGUUCAUAAGAUGAAAAACUGGAAGGGAAAAUAAAAGGGACCAAUAAUGUGUUUGCUCGAAGAGAACACUACCAAAAAAAAAACACCAGGGAUAAAUCAGCAUGGAUGCAUACUAGUGAUAAUAAUUCAUUCAGUGAAAACAGUGAUCUUUAAAAUGCCAUCAAGAAGGUGAGAACAACAUGCCAGGAUAAAGCCAAGGCACUAGAACCCUAGUAAUGUUAUGAUGAACCAUUCAAAGUAUUAAACCUUCCAACCCUAUUAGGUUAUCUAGAUUCCAUGGGCUAUUACAAUAUUCAUUCCAUACAUUAGCAUCCACGGAUUCUGGUUUAUGGUCACAUACACGAGGAAAACCACUUCCAUAAAUGGAAGUGUCCAAGUCACCGCUAUAUAUAACUUCAACGUUACCAGCUGAGACCAAAACUGACACUUGAAUCAAAUCAAGAUUGGCUCUGAUUGAUUCCAGUUUCGUAGCUCAGAUUAAUUCAAACCAAAGUGGAGAUGUCAAUCUAAACUUUGGUAAUGUACCAACAAAAUUCAAUUAAAUUUUCUUUCUAUUUUUAAAGUUAAUUUUCUAACUGUAAUAUCCACUUUAAUCUAAGAAUCUAUCAAGAUAGACCAGAGACAUGCUCAAUCAACUACUCAAUCAAUUAGACAUGCUAGAAAUUAGUCAAAAUCAAUUAAAUCAAGCCAAAUAAACAACUAAAUCAACUCAAUCAACUAGGGUUUCGAAUCAAUAAAUCAUAAAGAAAUGAAAUUGAGUUCAAAUCUAGGGUUUCGAUUACCAAGUAUUUCCAAGUAAAGAAACGAGAUUGAGUGUAAAUCUAGAGUUAAUAGAUUUUGUAAAAAAAAAAAAAAAAAACCUUAAAUGAAUAAAGAAUAGGAGAAAUUUAGUUACCAAAUACGAGCUUUCUUCUCAAUUUAAUAGAUUCAUUUAAGGUGAUUUUGAUGAUGGAAUAUAAUUUUGGUGAUGUCUAUAACAAAAAUCUUAACAUAUUUAUUUAUGAGUGCUGAGAGAGAAUAGUACAAUUUUAAUUAUAUUGAAAAUC
This 2473-nucleotide long non-coding RNA is filed under the name Citrus maxima (pomelo). RNAcentral describes it as "long non-coding RNA (CMAX_LNC003949)". The record is from RNAcentral. Lineage: Eukaryota; Viridiplantae; Streptophyta; Magnoliopsida; Sapindales; Rutaceae.